GACGAACGCUGGCGGCGUGCCUAAUACAUGCAAGUCGAACGAGAGCGACCGGUGCUUGCACUGGUCAAUCUAGUGGCGAACGGGUGAGUAACGCGUGGGUAACCUGCCCAUCAGAGGGGGAUAACAUCCGGAAACGGAUGCUAAAACCGCAUAGGUCUUCGAGCCGCAUGGCUCGAUGAGGAAAAGAGGCGCAAGCUUCUGCUGAUGGUUGGACCCGCGGUGCAUUAGCUAGUUGGUGAGGUAACGGCUCACCAAGGCCGUGAUGCAUAGCCGACCUGAGAGGGUGAUCGGCCACAUUGGGACUGAGACACGGCCCAAACUCCUACGGGAGGCAGCAGUAGGGAAUCUUCCGCAAUGGACGCAAGUCUGACGGAGCAACGCCGCGUGAGUGAAGAAGGUUUUCGGAUCGUAAAACUCUGUUGUUAGAGAAGAACAAGUGCUAGAGUAACUGUUAGCGCCUUGACGGUAUCUAACCAGAAAGCCACGGCUAACUACGUG
Molecule: ribosomal RNA, 498 nt
Filed under: uncultured bacterium
Lineage: Bacteria
Description: partial 16S ribosomal RNA
Rfam family: Bacterial small subunit ribosomal RNA
Source: RNAcentral